CAAGAUUAAAACUCAAAGGAAUAGACGGGGACCCGCACAAGCGGUGGAGCAUGUGGUUUAAUUCGAAGAUACACGAAGAACCUUACCUAGGCUUGACAUUGAUAGAAUCCGCUAGAGAUAGUGGAGUGCUAGCUUGCUAGAACUUGAAAACAGGUGCUGCACGGCUGUCGUCAGCUCGUGUCGUGAGAUGUUGGGUUAAGUCCCGCAACGAGCGCAACCCUCGUCCUUAGUUGCUAACUAUUCGGUAGAGCACUCUAAGGAGACUGCCUUCGCAAGGAGGAGGAAGGUGAGGAUGACGUCAAGUCAUCAUGGCCCUUACGCCUAGGGCUACACACGUGCUACAAUGGGAAGUACAAAGAGAUGCAAUAUUGUGAAAUGGAGCAAAUCUCAAAAACUUCUCUCAGUUCGGAUUGUAGUCUGCAACUCGACUACAUGAAGCUGGAAUCGCUAGUAAUCGUAGAUCAGCUAUGCUACGGUGAAUACGUUCCCGGGUCUUGUACUCACCGCCCGUCACACCAUGGGAGUCGGAAAUGCC
This 535-nucleotide ribosomal RNA is filed under the name uncultured Pseudomonadota bacterium. RNAcentral describes it as "bacterial SSU rRNA". It matches the Rfam family "Bacterial small subunit ribosomal RNA", at positions 889 to 1421 of the family's 1533-position model. Lineage: Bacteria; Pseudomonadati; Pseudomonadota. The record is from RNAcentral.